This 1551-nucleotide long non-coding RNA is filed under the name Mytilus galloprovincialis (Mediterranean mussel). The record is from RNAcentral. Lineage: Eukaryota; Metazoa; Mollusca; Bivalvia; Mytilida; Mytilidae.
UUUGAACUGUUGAUAUAUAUAUACAUUAUUAAUAAAUUUACAGAGUUCAAGUAUUUUGGAUUUUUGUCUUGAGACAAAUAAUUUAGACUGAACUCCAAGUCAUACCAUUUUUGAAAUAGUUUAGUGUAAGUCUUCUCUUCAUAUAAAUGUUAAAUAACUAUCUGUCAUAUUUUAAAGCGAAUUCAUUAAUUUCAGGUAUUGGUGAAAAAAAUAUAUGAAAAUUUGAUUUCAUGGUUUUAAUAUAUUCUGCAUACAAGCCUAUUCUAAAAUUGCAUUUUGUGUAAAUCAUGUUUAACCUCAAACCACAAAAGCCAUUAUGAAUAUUCAUAAAUUCAUGGUAUCAAAUAGUUCAUAAACAGUUAUAUGUAUAUAUAUAUCAGAGAAAUAUUAAUUUAAAUAAAUAUCUUUUUUAAAGUACAUAAUAUUUUCUACAAUUUGUUAGUUUCUAGAUUUAAGAAAAGUAAUUAAUUGACCAUUUUAUAUACAAAUAAUAACAAUAUACUGACUACAAUAAUACUAAUCUUACUUAAAGACUAGUAUGGUUAUCAUUAAAAAACUAAAAUUGAAUGCAAUGUUAUAUGUAUUUCAGGCAGACAUGGAUUUUUUGGGUGACCAUGAAAUUCAUUUGAAAAAGAAAAAAACUUCAACAUUACAUUGGUUUUGUUACUAAUUAGUAGGGGUAAACAUCACUAUAAUUGUUAUAUGAUUUUCAUAUCUACAAAUACUUGAAUUGGAUUGGUCCGUUAGCAUUUUUCCCUUGGUUUACACUUCAAUAGACCAUGUUGCUGAAACUAUUUUCGUAACUAACAUUGUGAUCUAUUCAUGCGCAAUACAUACACAUGGGAUCAAGGGGUUCAAGCAAAUUGAGAUUUAUUAAAAAACAAAUACAUAACUGUUACUUCUUUUUCAAUGGAAAUGUAUAAAUAUACUAUAAAUAAAAUGCAGUGAAUUUUCAUCAUUGAGCUUGGCUCAUUAACGUCACGGGGCAGAUUGACAUCAUACGAAUAAAAACUCUCAAGAGGAAGAUUAUUUUGUUUCUUGUUUGAUUCAAAUUUAAAAUAAAAUAUCUCAUUAAAAUGAAGCUUUUGAGGUAGGUGUUAUUUUAUUCUAGAUUCUAUUGCAUUAAUUGAACAUUAAGGGAUUAAAGAUAGCCAAUAUGGCGGAUACAAAAUGUCAAUAGCACAUUUGAUGGUAAAUAGUAGCCAAUGUACCAAAAAUUGUUAAUUAAAAAUUGGAAAUGUUUGGAUUAAGAAUUAUAAGGAUUAAACACAUUUUCUGUAGAAUGCAUUGAUGUGUAAACUGAGUUGCUGACUAUCAAGCUUUUACAUAAAAGUCCUUUGGUUUUAUUCAGUUUGCCAGUCAAUCGCCCCAGUUUACACAUUAAUUACCUUUAUCAUAUAACGUUCCAUUUGAAUCCUCAGAUUCAUCAUCAAAAUGUUCUUGUAAAAGAAAUUGGAAACUACAGGCAUUGAACAUUUAUAUAUCCUGUAACUGUAUAAUACUAACAUAAACUUUUCUCAAAAUGAAGUAAAAAUUUAUAACAUCAAUAAA